AUGUGCAUGACUCUUGAUAAUGCUUCAUACAAUGAUUCGAUGAUCAACACUUUGAGAACUACAUUGCUGCCUAAAGGUGUGUUACCAUUGUUUGGAACUUUCUUUCAAGUCCGAUGUUGUGCACACAUUUUAAAUCUGAUUGUCCAAGCUGGUUUGAAACUUAUUGAUAAAUCUGUUGACAAGAUUAGAGAGGGCAUUCAAUAUACACAAUGCUUGAGAAUGCUUUGUAUUUCAAGGAUGCAUUACUGUGGUUUGGUAAUAGGGAUGGCAUAUUCAAGUCAAACUUCUCUCUUACUCAUGAUGAAUGGGAAAAGGUUCGUAUCAUGCAUGAUUUCUUGA
Molecule: ribosomal RNA, 339 nt
Filed under: Triticum aestivum (bread wheat)
Lineage: Eukaryota; Viridiplantae; Streptophyta; Magnoliopsida; Poales; Poaceae
Description: partial small subunit ribosomal RNA
Source: RNAcentral